GGACGUGUCUCCUUCUUCGUGCUCCUCCUCCUCCUCCUUGUGUCAAUGGUCGCGGUUAGAUCCGCCGCUGCAGUGCAGCAAGGAUAAUGGUACAAAGUCAUGGAUUUUUAUGCCGCUGGGGACGGUGCGACGAGUGAUGCCGAGGCGUUCGAGGAGACGUGGAAAGUAGCCUGCAGCAGCCACAACAGCGAGGUGAUCAUGUACAUCCCUGCAGGAAAGACAUUCUUGCUGAACCAGACCAGGUUCGACGGACCCUGUAAGUCGCCCAUCACCGUACAGGUCGGAAUUGACGUCGUGGCACCAAACUCCCUCUAUUCAAAGCCAUCAGACCUCCUGACCUUCUAUGGUGUCGACAACCUAACAGUGAACGGGAGCAGCCAAACAGAUGGGCGAGGCGCCCAGUGGUGGGAUUGCUACAACAAAAAGUCAUUGUCACUCGCGCACUGCAACAAUCUACGGGUGACCAACAUACGUCUCAAGGACAUCGCCGACAAGAACUUGAUCCUGUAUGAGUGCAUGCAGGUGCAGGUGCACAACGUCUCCAUCGCGGCGCUGGGCGACAGCCCCAACACCGACGGGAUCAACAUGGGCUCCUCCAACCAUGUAAACAUCUCGUCUUGCUCUAUGCACACCGGUGAUGAUUGUGUGUCGAUUCUAUCGGGAACCACCGAUGUUAACGUCACUAACACCACCUGCGGGCCUGGUCAUGGCAUCAGUGUGGGAAGUCUUGGAGGUGUUGGUGACGGCCCAACGCUGGUGGAAAGAAUUACAGUGUCCAACUGCAGCUUCUUCAAUACCACGACCGGUGUGAGGAUCAAAUUGUGGCAGGGAGGGCAAGGCAAAGCAACCGGAUUCCUUUUCACCAAACUCAGAAUGACUGCUAUCCGGUUGCUUAUCGACAUCGACCAGUUCUAUUGCCCCCAAGGAAACGGUCCACCACGGGAUGGUGGUGUGGCCAUAACGGACCCUCUAUUCGUCGACAUCCAGGGGACGUCCUCAGAACGAGAGACCAUCAAGAUCAUGUGCAGCAAGAGUGUGCCGUGCCACGACAUCUAGCCCAAAAACGACAACCUCUCUUGGGCCAACCACAUUGCCCCAGCACAAGCUCUUGUUCAGAAUGCCAAUGGAAGCGUCACGGGAAUGGUGAAGCCACAAACACAGUUCGCUGGCAAUUGA
This 1176-nucleotide ribosomal RNA is filed under the name Triticum aestivum (bread wheat). Its description in RNAcentral is "partial small subunit ribosomal RNA". Lineage: Eukaryota; Viridiplantae; Streptophyta; Magnoliopsida; Poales; Poaceae. The record is from RNAcentral.